UAUUAAUGCUCAAUUAUUGACCAAUUUUUCUGUCGUUGCUAUUGAUUUAAACAACUGUUAAUAUAGAUCCAAAGAAGCAACUUUUUUCAGUUAAUACCGUAAAGUCUUGUUAUGAAUUGCAAUUGGAUAAUUAGAUUAUAGUUCACCCAAUUUUUUUCAGGCCGUGAUUCAGGAUACUGCGGGAGUAAGACUGCCGAUAUCGUUUGUUAUCCCCGUUGCAUGGCUACACGUAAAUCGGAUGUUUGAAAGAUUAUCAAUAACGACGAUUUAAUUCAAGGAUUUCCAUCAACCACCCUCCGCCGGAUUAGACAAGUUUUGUUGUGUAUUCGCAAAAUAAUCGACAUAAAAGGG
Molecule: long non-coding RNA, 351 nt
Organism: Magallana angulata
Lineage: Eukaryota; Metazoa; Mollusca; Bivalvia; Ostreida; Ostreidae
Exons: 3
Source: RefSeq, a predicted model, not a curated record